RNAcentral lists this transfer RNA (76 nucleotides) under Anaerolinea sp. RNAcentral describes it as "tRNA-Glu". The record is from RNAcentral. Lineage: Bacteria; Bacillati; Chloroflexota; Anaerolineae; Anaerolineales; Anaerolineaceae.
GGGCAGAUAGCUCAGUUGGUUAGAGCGCUUCUCUUUCACAGAAGAGGUACGCUUGGUGUAGUACUCAACCAGCACA